GCCGGUGUGGUGGAAUUGGUAGACACGAGGGAUUUAAAAUCCCUUUCCCGCGAGGGAGUGCCGGUUCAAGUCCGGCCACCGGUACCA
This 87-nucleotide transfer RNA is filed under the name Pedosphaera sp. RNAcentral's name for it is "tRNA-Leu". It matches the Rfam family "tRNA". Rfam says of the family: Transfer RNA (tRNA) molecules are approximately 80 nucleotides in length. Their secondary structure includes four short double-helical elements and three loops (D, anti-codon, and T loops). The record is from RNAcentral. Lineage: Bacteria; Pseudomonadati; Verrucomicrobiota; Pedosphaerae; Pedosphaerales; Pedosphaeraceae. RNAcentral also lists the same sequence under 5 other names.